RNAcentral lists this long non-coding RNA (1074 nucleotides) under Daucus carota (carrot). RNAcentral's name for it is "long non-coding RNA (DCAR_LNC002164)". Lineage: Eukaryota; Viridiplantae; Streptophyta; Magnoliopsida; Apiales; Apiaceae. The record is from RNAcentral.
UCCAUUCCAUACUCGACAGACUACAUGCUACAUAAUGCAUGCCAACAAAUAAUGAAAGCCACGAGCACUCAAGCGACUUGUCUUCAAUAGAGGCGUCUUUAUUGACCGCAGGUUUUAUAUGACGACUUACACAUAUUAUAUACUAAUGGAAUUAACACAUGAACUUGCACGAAAUAUAUUUAAUACAAUAAAUUGUUCUACACUGCGCCUAGCCAUCGAACCCUAUAAUUAUAUAUAAAACCGAAGCUUAUCAUAUUUUAACUCACUUAUUAGUUAUUUCUCUUCAACUUUCUCAUCUUUCUCGCUCUUUCUGAUACAAAUAAAAUGGAAAUCUCAUCGCGUUACAUGAAUGGCAGCCUGAAGUUCACCCCGAGAAGACUAUUCCGAUCGCGAUACGUCCGGUUAAACGGGGGGCAGAGGAGAAAGAUGAAGACGGCGAGGCUAGGAGGCGGGAGCCCCGUGCGUGCAUGGAGGAUCAGAGCUUCGGCUCGCAGAGUGAAGAUUGUUUUAUCAUCACCGAUGAAGCUGUUGAGGAAACUCAAGAAUCUGUACUUGACCAUGUUGCUUAAAUUGGCAGGAGAGCAUGGACAGAAGAGGAUUACGAAGGCUCGUCACCUUCCGAUUGCAAGAUCCACGGCUGAGUUCAAUAACAGGCUGCUUCUGGAAAUCUACAAGUCCUUUGCGGUUUCUCGUGAAAUGGCUACCAGUUAAUUGAUCACAUAAGAUUUUUAUUUUGUGUUGAAUUAUUUGUCAAGUGUAUAUUUACUGGCUAGCUUGUUUAGUGACUUAGUGGUGAAAUAAUCAUAUUUCUUGGUGCUGUAAAGUUGUGCUAGAUCUGCAAGAGAACCGUUUAUGCUUUCUGAUGUAAGUUGAGAUAUAUGGAGUAGCUUUUUCUUGCCCGGAUGUCUUUUAAGUUCUUUUAGUUUGAUAUGAUACUGGUUAAUCAUAUUGUUAAGACAUCUUUUGGAUUAUGAAACACUUAUGCAACGCCGUAACAAUAUGAUUAGCAACUGAUCUAUUUUUUACGCAGAGAAAUAAAAAGGCACUGCAGUACUAGUGUUUAUAAUUCGGUGA